RNAcentral lists this ribosomal RNA (1278 nucleotides) under Uroplectes gracilior. Its description in RNAcentral is "SSU rRNA". It matches the Rfam family "Eukaryotic small subunit ribosomal RNA", at positions 34 to 1312 of the family's 1831-position model. The record is from RNAcentral. Lineage: Eukaryota; Metazoa; Arthropoda; Arachnida; Scorpiones; Buthidae.
GUCUCAAAGAUUAAGCCAUGCAUGUCUAAGUACAUACUGAAAUAAAGUGAAACCGCGAAUGGCUCAUUAAAUCAGUUACGGUUCCUUAGACUGUACAUUCCUACUUGGAUAACUGUGGUAAUUCUAGAGCUAAUACAUGCAUCAGAGCUCCGACCUUCGGGGACGAGCGCAUUUAUUAGACCAAGACCAAUCGGGCUCAGGCCCGCAAAUGGUGGUGACUCUGGAUAACUUUCAGCUGAUCGCACGGUCUAGCACCGGCGACGUAUCUUUCAAGUGUCUGCCUUAUCAACUUUCGAUGGUAGGUUAUGCGCCUACCAUGGUCGUUACGGGUAACGGGGAAUCAGGGUUCGAUUCCGGAGAGGGAGCCUGAGAAACGGCUACCACAUCCAAGGAAGGCAGCAGGCGCGCAAAUUACCCACUCCCGGCACGGGGAGGUAGUGACGAAAAAUAACAAUACGGGACUCUAUUGAGGCCCCGUAAUUGGAAUGGGUACAAUCUAAACCCUUUAACGAGUAUCCAUUGGAGGGCAAGUCUGGUGCCAGCAGCCGCGGUAAUUCCAGCUCCAAUAGCGUAUAUUAAAGUUGUUGUGGUUAAAAAGCUCGUAGUUGGAUCUCAGAUUCAGACUGGCGGUCCACCGCCCGGUGGUUACUGUCAGGACUGGACGUUUGGCCGGAUUCCUUUGAUGCUCUUUGCCGAGUGUCUUGGGUGUCCGGCACGUUUACUUUGAAAAAAUUAGAGUGCUCAAAGCAGGCGUACCGCCUGAAUAAUGGUGCAUGGAAUAAUGGAAUAAGACCUCGUCUCUAUUUUGUUGGUUUUCGGAAAACGAGGAAAUGAUUAAGAGGGACAGACGGGGGCAUUCGUAUUGCGACGCUAGAGGUGAAAUUCUUGGACCGUCGCAAGACGAACUACUGCGAAAGCAUUUGCCAAGAAUGUUUUCAUUAAUCAAGAACGAAAGUUAGAGGUUCGAAGGCGAUCAGAUACCGCCCUAGUUCUAACCAUAAACGAUGCCAACCAGCAAUCCGCCUGAGUUCCUCAAAUGACUCGGCGGGCAGCUUCCGGGAAACCAAAGUGUUUGGGUUCCAGGGGAAGUAUGGUUGCAAAGCUGAAACUUAAAGGAAUUGACGGAAGGGCACCACCAGGAGUGGAGCCUGCGGCUUAAUUUGACUCAACACGGGAAAACUUACCCGGCCCGGACACUGGAAGGAUUGACAGAUUAAGAGCUCUUUCUUGAUUCAGUGGGUGGUGGUGCAUGGCCGUUCUUAGUUGGUGGAGCGAUUU